Small nucleolar RNA from Astyanax mexicanus (Mexican tetra), 71 nucleotides. Lineage: Eukaryota; Metazoa; Chordata; Actinopteri; Characiformes; Acestrorhamphidae. The record is from Ensembl.
UGGAGAACUGAUGACUGCCAUACCGCCCCAGUCUGAAUUUGAGCUGACUGAUUGGUUUUUCCUGAUCUCCU